CAAAGUAAAAAUUACCAGUAUCAUUGGCUGUCUAUAUUUCUCCAACAUGUGGACGGUCUCUCUAAGCUGGAAGAAUGAGUAGAACGACUUAAGUUCUGUUGUGAAAUGGUUUUUUUAGUAAUUUCGUGACACUAUUGUGGUUCUUACAAAA
Molecule: small nucleolar RNA, 151 nt
Filed under: Lachancea mirantina
Lineage: Eukaryota; Fungi; Ascomycota; Saccharomycetes; Saccharomycetales; Saccharomycetaceae
Description: Small nucleolar RNA snR161
Rfam family: Small nucleolar RNA snR161
Source: Rfam by way of RNAcentral